Molecule: long non-coding RNA, 394 nt
Filed under: Eucalyptus grandis
Lineage: Eukaryota; Viridiplantae; Streptophyta; Magnoliopsida; Myrtales; Myrtaceae
Description: long non-coding RNA (EGRA_LNC006614)
Source: RNAcentral
CGCUUCAAGAUCAUCUACUUCAACCGACGAGACCCUCUUACCGAAAUUACAGGUAGAUUCUCCAUUCCAUAUGCGCCGACACAGCUUGCCUGUCCAAUUUUCAACGUGAGAUAUUCUAGCAAUCUUCUUUGGAUCCGCAUUGAGCUGCAAAGCAUUCAUUAACGAGAAUUCAGCUCUUGACAAACGGUCAGGACCAUCAGACAGUAUCUGGAAUCAAGAGGACAAUGGCCUUCAUGAUGCUCGCUUACCCGGUACUUGAUCAAUCACACUAUAUGAGUCUGCCUUCGCCAACACCGAUGUCUGAUGGACCAUGAAGGAAUCAUCCGCACACAUGUAAGUGACGUACCAAGUCGCCACACACGUAAUUCACAGUAGUUACAGAGGAUAUAUCAGU